This 253-nucleotide ribosomal RNA is filed under the name uncultured bacterium. Its description in RNAcentral is "partial 16S ribosomal RNA". It matches the Rfam family "Bacterial small subunit ribosomal RNA", at positions 524 to 776 of the family's 1533-position model. The record is from RNAcentral.
GACGUAGGAGGCGAGCGUUGUCCGGAUUCAUUGGGCGUAAAGAGCACGCAGGCGGUUUGGCAAGUCGGAUGUGAAAACCCGAAGCUCAACUUCGGGCCUGCAUCCGAAACUGCCCGACUAGAGGUAGGUAGGGGAGAUCGGAAUUCCUGGUGUAGCGGUGAGAUGCGCAGAUAUCAGGAGGAACACCGGUGGCGAAGGCGGAUCUCUGGGCCUUACCUGACGCUCAGGUGCGAAAGCUAGGGGAGCGAACAGG